Molecule: ribosomal RNA, 499 nt
Filed under: uncultured bacterium
Lineage: Bacteria
Description: partial 16S ribosomal RNA
Rfam family: Bacterial small subunit ribosomal RNA
Source: RNAcentral
GACGAACGCUGGCGGCGUGCCUAAUACAUGCAAGUCUAGCGAAGUUUUUCUGGUGCUUGCACCGGAAAAACUUAGCGGCGAACGGGUGAGUAACACGUAAAGAACCUGCCUCAUAGACUGGGACAACUAUUGGAAACGAUAGCUAAUACCGGAUAACAGCAUUAACUGCAUGGUUGAUGUUUAAAAGUUGGUUUUGCUAACACUAUGAGAUGGCUUUGCGGUGCAUUAGCUAGUUGGUGGGGUAAAGGCCUACCAAGGCGACGAUGCAUAGCCGACCUGAGAGGGUGAUCGGCCACACUGGGACUGAGACACGGCCCAGACUCCUACGGGAGGCAGCAGUAGGGAAUCUUCCGCAAUGGGCGAAAGCCUGACGGAGCAACGCCGCGUGAGUGAAGAAGGAUUUCGGUUCGUAAAGCUCUGUUGUUAGGGAAGAAUGAUUGUGUAGUAACUAUACACAGUAGAGACGGUACCUAACCAGAAAGCCACGGCUAACUACGUG